AUCGAUAGAAGACUAUACGGUAUAUGCAGAACUAACUUCUCACUUAGAAGAGCUAAGCGUAGAGGUGAAGCUUGAGGAUGCAGAAUUGCGUGCACUACUUGACACUCAUUUUGCUGAGAUGGAAAACGUGGCGACUGUACACAUGGCACUGGCUAACGCUAGGUUGAUGUCCCUGAAGGAGGAGAUGAAGAAGAUGGUUGAAGAAGACGAGGCGACAACGGAGGAUCUGGUCGAAUUCAUGGAACUGAAUUGCCACCAACUCUUUCCUUCCCUACCCAGCCUACCCCCAUGCCCCUUCUGAUCAAAGCUGGUGAAUGUUUUUUUUUGUGCAACUCGGUGAACUGCUUACCAUACUCUACAACAUAUUAUGUAUUUCUACUUCAUGAUAUUUACUGUGAUGUCGGAGGACUCUCUGGUUCAACAUCAUCUUUUGUCAAGUACAUGGUAGCUAGCUACUUAGCUGGAGCCAGUGUCACCAAGUCAUCCUGUGUCUAAGAUGUUGUAUAAGCAGUAAUGGUGUUUCAAACUAUCAGAAAUAUGCACUACUUCUUAUUUCUUUUAGGAACACUCUUGUUGGACAGGAAUUUGGUGAAUAUGGUUCAACGCACACCCGUUAUGAAUAGUAAAUUAAAAAAUAAAAAAAGUCAACAGAUACACUCCCUAUGAAUAGUAAAUUCGAAAAAAAUGUUAUACUUGCACAUGAAGUUUCACCAAGAAACGACUUCCAUGGUAUCCUGGGCAAAAAUGACAAGAUCGAACCUAUAAUAAAAGACAAUGUUGUAUGAAUAGUAUGAUCCCGG
This 800-nucleotide long non-coding RNA is filed under the name Triticum aestivum (bread wheat). Its description in RNAcentral is "long non-coding RNA (TAES_LNC006516)". The record is from RNAcentral. Lineage: Eukaryota; Viridiplantae; Streptophyta; Magnoliopsida; Poales; Poaceae.